UUCAUAAAGUUUUUUUUUUAAACUAAACACUAGCUAUGACUUGUACAUAAAGCAACUUCCUACACAAGAAUGUGAUAAAACAUAUAUAACUGCUACUUAAAUCAUAAAUAGAAAUAAGUAAAUUCUAAUAAAAAUGAUAAAAAUGCAUAGACUUCUGACAUGUUGCCUGAAGAAGAAAAGCUAAAUAUAGAUUUUAUGGUUUGGUUCAAUCUGAACUCAUUCAAGGUCUAUCAAGCUACUGGAGUAGGGCCUGCGAAGGAUAAAACAAAGCAAAAUGUUCACCAUGAUGAUAAUAUCUUGAAAAUAUAUUACUUCAAGGAUAUAAAACAUAGGUUUUAUUAAAAAAAAACUGGAAUAAAAUAAUUAAAAUGUUUUUCUGUGAUCUACUUAUAUCUUUCAAAAGAUACAUACUGAAGUAAACUUCCAUUUGCUAAUGAUGUGUAUUGUUUUACAUGUAGUUAACUUAAGAUUUCUUUAGGAGCUAAUAAUUAGAACCCUUCACGAUUCCUGUUGACACUUUUAAAGGGAUGGCAGAAGAAAGAAUAGUGGUAUGAAUGGUAUUUGAAGAGUUGAAGAUAACUAUGGGAUUCAUUUCCUCCAGUAUAUCUAAUAGCAAUAUAAUAAUGAGAACAUAACAAGUAUACAAAAUUAUAUUAAUAACAUGUAUAAAUUUAUGAAGUCAAACAUUCUACCUUGUAUCAAAAUCCUUUACUAUAAAAUGAGGUCUAUAUAUGUAGCCCAGAACAAUAUCUCAAAUCCAUUUUUCUCCAUAUUGAAGGAGGCAUCCUGACAGAGGCUGAUAUCUCUUCAGAAAUAUGUUCAGCUUCAUAAUUUGUUAAUUUGAAUCUAAUAGUUGUGAUGAAACCUGGACUACAUGGAAAUAUAUGGAUAAACUGAGGCACAGAUAUUCGGUACCUUGCUGAAGGUCUUGGCUACAAGGUAAAAUAUGACAAAGAGUAACCUGGCUUUGAAGGAACAAAGAAAUGAAAACCUCAGGAAGCAGGCACAACUGUUGUGGUCUAGAGAUAAGUACUUGUGCUAAGCUGAAACAAUCAGAAUUUCACUCUAGAAAUCUGAAAUUUGACCAAGGGAUACAAAAAGAAAGAAGUCAUCUAGAGCUGAGGCAUCUGAUGACAGCACUGCAGGACAGGCUCAGAUUAGGACUCUCAACCACAGAAGAACUCACAAGCUAUGGAUAGACAAGUACUAAACGGCCACAACAGAAGGAAAAAUAUUAUAAACUACAAGAGAUCUGGAGAAGCAUAACGCAUCAAAGAAGGGAAGACUACAGUCUUGGCUGUUGAAAGGAGGAUCAAAAAUGGCAUUUCAACAGAGUCUUUGAAGAAGAGGUGAAAUUCCCACAAUCAAAGAAUGGGCUAAGUCUUGACUAAAUAUAGAAAAAAGAUGGGGGAGGAGGUUCAGAGAUGCCAUCUGUAUGCCUGUGAUGUGCUAGAGGCUGUGCUGGUGUAUGUUAUGUAUACAUCGUAUGUCAGCUGAUGUAAAUCUCACAAGUCUGGAAAACUCACAUUAUGUUUCCCAUUUGGAAGGUGAAGAACUGGGUCAAAAAAUAUCACACACAUGGUAGUGAAGUCAGAGAUUGAACAGACUCUGCCUGCUUCUGGAGCUCAUAAAGUUUUUAUUAUACAGCACAUUUGCAACACUAGUGAAAG
Molecule: non-coding RNA, 1670 nt
Organism: Odocoileus virginianus texanus
Lineage: Eukaryota; Metazoa; Chordata; Mammalia; Artiodactyla; Cervidae
Source: RefSeq, a predicted model, not a curated record